RNAcentral lists this ribosomal RNA (495 nucleotides) under uncultured fungus. RNAcentral describes it as "eukaryotic LSU rRNA". The stretch from base 141 to 294 matches the Rfam family "5.8S ribosomal RNA". The record is from RNAcentral. Lineage: Eukaryota; Fungi.
UUCGGCCUGGUUAUUCAUAACCCUUUGUUGUCCGACUCUGUUGCCUCCGGGGCGACCCUGCCUUCGGGCGGGGGCUCCGGGUGGACACUUCAAACUCUUGCGUAACUUUGCAGUCUGAGUAAACUUAAUUAAUAAAUUAAAACUUUUAACAACGGAUCUCUUGGUUCCGGCAUCGAUGAAGAACGCAGCGAAAUGCGAUAAGUAAUGAGAAUUGCAUAAUUCAAUGAAUCAGCGAAUCUUUGAACGCACAUUGCGCCCCCUGGUAUUCCGGGGGGCAUGCCUGUUCGAGCGUCAUUUCACCACUCAAGCCUCGCUUGGAAUUGGGCAACGCGGUCCGCCGCGUGCCUCAAAUCCUCCGGCUGGGUCUUCUGUCCCCUAAGCGUUGUGGAAACUAUUCGCUAAAGGGUGUUCGGGAGGCUACGCCGUAAAACAACCCCAUUUCUAAAGUUGACCUCAGAUCAGGUAGGGAUACCCGCUGAACUUAAGCAUAUCAAU